CUGAAAACUAAUGCAAAGGAAAUGUUUCAUGGGAUGCUAUUUACAGAAUGACACUUACAAGGAUAAUUUAACACUUGUGGCAGAUGUCUAACUGAGGAUAUUCCAAAACCAAGAAGAAUAGAUGAAGUCUUGAUCAAAAUCAUCCUUCAAAAAGUAUAUUUGAGAGCCAAUUUGAGACCUCAGUCGGCUAGAAAACUAGGAGAACUGAAUGUAUACCCAACG
This 222-nucleotide long non-coding RNA is filed under the name Solanum tuberosum (potato). RNAcentral's name for it is "long non-coding RNA (STUB_LNC008988)". The record is from RNAcentral. Lineage: Eukaryota; Viridiplantae; Streptophyta; Magnoliopsida; Solanales; Solanaceae.